RNAcentral lists this ribosomal RNA (739 nucleotides) under uncultured archaeon. RNAcentral's name for it is "bacterial SSU rRNA". It matches the Rfam family "Archaeal small subunit ribosomal RNA", at positions 52 to 769 of the family's 1478-position model. The record is from RNAcentral.
UGCGAGUCGAGCGUCUCUAGCUAUGUUGAGACGCGGCAGACGGCUCAGUAACACGUGGCUAACCUACCCUCAGGACGAGGACAAACCCGGGAAACUGGGGCUAAUACUCGAUAGGUGAGGAUGCCUGGAAUGGUUCUUCACUCAAAGGACUUUAGAAACAUGCUUCUAAAGUUGCCUGGGGAUGGGGCCGCGUCCGAUCAGGUUGUUGGUGAGGUAACGGCUCACCAAGCCUAUAACCGGUACGGGCCGUGAGAGCGGUAGCCCGGAGAUGGGUACUGAGACAAGGACCCAGGCCCUACGGGGCGCAGCAGUCGCGAAAACUCCGCAAUGCACGAAAGUGUGACGGGGCUACCCCGAGUGCCAUCCGCUGAGGAUGGCUUUUCCUUGGUGUAAUUAGCCGGGGGAAUAAGGAGAGGGCAAGACUGGUGUCAGCCGCCGCGGUAAUACCAGCUCUCCGAGUGGUAGGGAUGAUUAUUGGGCUUAAAGCGUCCGUAGCCGGCUUAGUAAGUCUCCUGUUAAAUUCAGCGACCUAAUCGUUGAGCCGCGGGAGAUACUACUAUGCUAGGAGGCGGGAGAGGUCGACGGUACUUCUGGGGUAGGGGUGAAAUCCUAUAAUCCCGGGAGGACCACCAGUGGCGAAGGCUGUUGACUAGAACGCGCUCGACGGUGAGGGACGAAAGCUGGGGGAGCGAACCGGAUUAGAUACCCGGGUAGUCCCAGCCGUAAACGAUGCGGGCUA